RNAcentral lists this ribosomal RNA (406 nucleotides) under uncultured bacterium. Its description in RNAcentral is "partial 16S ribosomal RNA". It matches the Rfam family "Bacterial small subunit ribosomal RNA", at positions 29 to 526 of the family's 1533-position model. The record is from RNAcentral.
AUUGAACGCUGGCGGCAGGCCUAACACAUGCAAGUCGAACGAGUGGCGGACGGGUGAGUAAUGUCUGGGAAACUGCCCGAUGGAGGGGGAUAACUACUGGAAACGGUAGCUAAUACCGCAUACCAUCGGAUGUGCCCAGCUGGGAUUAGCUUGUGGGUGGGGUAACGGCUCACCAAGGCGACGAUCCCUAGCUGGUCUGAGAGGAUGACCGGCAACACGGGAACGGAGAAGCGGUCCAAACUCCUACGGGAGGCAGCAGUGGGGAAUAUUGGACAAUGGGCGCAAGCCUGAUGCAGCCAUGCGGCGUGUAGGAAGAAGGCCUUCGGGUUGUAAAGUACUUUCAGCGAGGAGGCGUUACCCGCAGAAGAAGCACCGGCUAACUCCGUGCCAGCCGCCGCGGUAAUUC